GGAUGUGAGGGCGAUCUGGCUGCGACAUCUGUCACCCCAUUGAUCGCCAGGGUUGAUUCGGCUGAUCUGGCUGGCUAGGCGGGUGUCCCCUUCCUCCCUCACCGCUCCAUGUGCGUCCCUCCCGAAGCUGCGCGCUCGGUCGAAGAGGACGACCUUCCCCGAUAGAGGAGGACCGUUCUUCGGUCAAGGGUAUACGAGUAGCUGCGCUCCCCUGCUAGAACCUCCAAACAAGCUCUCAAGUAUAAUAGAAAACUCCCACUCCAUCCCUGUCUCCUCUACUCCGUUCCCAUUCACCCCCAUCGGAAACCAUUUUAAUUGAUUUCCAGU
Molecule: small nuclear RNA, 327 nt
Filed under: Marmota monax (woodchuck)
Lineage: Eukaryota; Metazoa; Chordata; Mammalia; Rodentia; Sciuridae
Description: 7SK RNA
Rfam family: 7SK RNA
About the family: 7SK was discovered as an abundant small nuclear RNA in the mid-70s but a possible function has only recently been suggested. Two independent studies have found that 7SK RNA binds the CDK9/cyclin T complex (known as elongation factor P-TEFb).
Source: Rfam by way of RNAcentral